This is a non-coding RNA of Dermacentor andersoni, 435 nucleotides long. Lineage: Eukaryota; Metazoa; Arthropoda; Arachnida; Ixodida; Ixodidae. The record is from RefSeq and is a predicted model, not a curated record.
GUGGUAGCCAUGCAGGUCACAUUUGUCGCAUGUGAGCCUGCUGACUGCAUUGCAAGGAACAGCGUAGCAAGGGGUUGCAAAUUUGGUGACCAACUUAUUCCGAAGGGUCAAGCUGUGAGCAUGGCAGCUCCCUGUGUUCAAGCUUCGUGCUCAGCGGAUGGAACAACACUUACAGUUCGCGGGUGCCCAUUUGAAGGUGGAGCACACCCACACCCCGGAGGAGCUACACCCGCUUUACCAGGUCGACAAUACCCUUUUUGUUGCAAUAAGUGCAACCCAGUACCAUAACUGGAUAUAACGGGUACUGGAGCCAGUUGGACGAGUUCAAGUGCCCUGAACGCCAACGAUGGCAUAAAUAUAAUCUAUAUCAGUGUAGCAGCAGUAAAAAUAGAUCAGCGGAUAGGAGUUUGUGUUAAGAAUAAAAUAGGUUUACUA